UUCAACGGCCGCGUAUCCUAACCGUGCAAAGGUAGCGUAAUCACUUGUCCUCUAAAUAAGGACCCGUAUGAAUGGCUAAAUGAGGACUAAUCUGUCUCCUUUAAAAAAUCAGUGAAACUGAUCUACCAGUACAAAAGCUGGUAUGCCCCCAUAAGACGAGAAGACCCUGUGGAGCUUUAAAUUUAAAGCCAAAAACAACAAAACACAGCACACCCAUGGCCAAAAUUUUAAGUUGGGGCGACUUCGGAACAAAACAAAACUUCCGAGCAUAAAGAACACCAUCUUACCAAGACCCACAAGUCAAAGCAAAACUUGACCCAGUAANACUGACUACCGAACCAAGUUACCCCAGGNAUAACAGCGCAAUCUUCUUCAAGAGUCCANAUCGACAAGAAGGCUUACGACCUCGAUGUUGGAUCAGGACACCCAAAUGGUGCAGCCGCUAUUAAAGGUUC
This 455-nucleotide ribosomal RNA is filed under the name Petrosaurus mearnsi. Its description in RNAcentral is "partial 16S ribosomal RNA". It matches the Rfam family "Bacterial large subunit ribosomal RNA", at positions 1923 to 2574 of the family's 2925-position model. The record is from RNAcentral. Lineage: Eukaryota; Metazoa; Chordata; Lepidosauria; Squamata; Phrynosomatidae.